CCUACGGGUGGCAGCAGUCGAGAAUCUUUCACAAUGGGGGAAACCCUGAUGCAGCGACGCCGCGUGGGGGAAUGAAGGUCUUCGGAUUGUAAACCCCUGUUAUGUGGGAGCAAAUUAAAAAGAUAGUACCACAAGAGGAAGAGACUGCUAACUCAGUGACAGCAGCCGCGGUAAUACAGAGGGCUCAAGCGUUGUUCGGAAUCACUGGGCGUAAAGCGGGCGUGGGCUGUUGUGUAGGGUGUGUGUGAAAGGCGCGGGCGCAAACCGCGGAGGGCAGAUGAUACUGCGAUGCUUGAGUGAUGGAGAGGGAAGCGGAAUGCCCGGUGUAGCAGUGAAAUGCGUAGAUAUCGCGAGGAACACUCGUGGCGAAGGCGGGUUCCUGG
Molecule: ribosomal RNA, 383 nt
Filed under: uncultured bacterium
Lineage: Bacteria
Description: partial 16S ribosomal RNA
Rfam family: Bacterial small subunit ribosomal RNA
Source: RNAcentral